Molecule: ribosomal RNA, 1437 nt
Filed under: uncultured Enterobacteriaceae bacterium
Lineage: Bacteria; Pseudomonadati; Pseudomonadota; Gammaproteobacteria; Enterobacterales; Enterobacteriaceae
Description: bacterial SSU rRNA
Rfam family: Bacterial small subunit ribosomal RNA
Source: RNAcentral
UCGAACGGUAACAGGAAGCAGCUUGCUGCUUCGCUGACGAGUGGCGGACGGGUGAGUAAUGUCUGGGAAGCUGCCUGAUGGAGGGGGAUAACUACUGGAAACGGUAGCUAAUACCGCAUAAUGUCGCAAGACCAAAGAGGGGGACCUUCGGGCCUCUUGCCAUCGGAUGUGCCCAGAUGGGAUUAGCUUGUUGGUGGGGUAACGGCUCACCAAGGCGACGAUCCCUAGCUGGUCUGAGAGGAUGACCAGCCACACUGGAACUGAGACACGGUCCAGACUCCUACGGGAGGCAGCAGUGGGGAAUAUUGCACAAUGGGCGCAAGCCUGAUGCAGCCAUGCCGCGUGUAUGAAGAAGGCCUUCGGGUUGUAAAGUACUUUCAGCGGGGAGGAAGGGAGUAAAGUUAAUACCUUUGCUCAUUGACGUUACCCGCAGAAGAAGCACCGGCUAACUCCGUGCCAGCAGCCGCGGUAAUACGGAGGGUGCAAGCGUUAAUCGGAAUUACUGGGCGUAAAGCGCACGCAGGCGGUUUGUUAAGUCAGAUGUGAAAUCCCCGGGCUCAACCUGGGAACUGCAUCUGAUACUGGCAAGCUUGAGUCUCGUAGAGGGGGGUAGAAUUCCAGGUGUAGCGGUGAAAUGCGUAGAAAUCUGGAGGAAUACCGGUGGGGAAGGCGGCCCCCUGGACGAAGACUGACGCUCAGGUGCGAAAGCGUGGGGAGCAAACAGGAUUAGAUACCCUGGUAGUCCACGCCGUAAACGAUGUCGACUUGGAGGUUGUGCCCUUGAGGCGUGGCUUCCGGAGCUAACGCGUUAAGUCGACCGCCUGGGGAGUACGGCCGCAAGGUUAAAACCCAAAUGAAUUGACGGGGGCCCGCACAAGCGGUGGAGCAUGUGGUUUAAUUCGAUGCAACGCGAAGAACCUUACCUGGUCUUGACAUCCACGGAAGUUUUCAGAGAUGAGAAUGUGCCUUCGGGAACCGUGAGACAGGUGCUGCAUGGCUGUCGUCAGCUCGUGUUGUGAAAUGUUGGGUUAAGUCCCGCAACGAGCGCAACCCUUGUCCUUUGUUGCCAGCGGUCCGGCCGGGAACUCAAAGGAGACUGCCAGUGAUAAACUGGAGGAAGGUGGGGAUGACGUCAAGUCAUCAUGGCCCUUACGACCAGGGCUACACACGUGCUACAAUGGCGCAUACAAAGAGAAGCGACCUCGCGAGAGCAAGCGGACCUCAUAAAGUGCGUCGUAGUCCGGAUUGGAGUCUGCAACUCGACUCCAUGAAGUCGGAAUCGCUAGUAAUCGUGGAUCAGAAUGCCACGGUGAAUACGUUCCCGGGCCUUGUACACACCGCCCGUCACACCAUGGGAGUGGGUUGCAAAAGAAGUAGGUAGCUUAACCUUCGGGAGGGCGCUUACCACUUUGUGAUUCAUGACUGGGGUGAAGUCGU